Molecule: ribosomal RNA, 603 nt
Filed under: uncultured marine eukaryote
Lineage: Eukaryota
Description: SSU rRNA
Rfam family: Eukaryotic small subunit ribosomal RNA
Source: RNAcentral
GGUUAAAAAGCUCGUAGUUGGAUUUCUGUUGAGGAUGGGCGGUCUCUACUCUCGUAGAUGCAUUUGUCACAGCCUCGGCAUCCUCUUGAAGAACGGUUCUGUGAUUCAUUUCGUGGUCCGGAAUUCAAGACUUUUACUUUGAGGAAAUUAGAGUGUUCACGGCAAGCAAUCGCUUUGAAUACAUUAGCAUGGAAUAAUAAUAUAGGACCUUGGUACUAUUUUGUUGGUUUCUAGAACUAAGGUAAUGAUUAAUAGGGAUAAUUGGGGGCAUUCGUAUUAACGCGUCAGAGGUGGAAUUCUUGGAUUGCGUUACGACGAACUACUGCGAAAGCAUUUGCCAAGGAUGUUUUCAUUGAUCAAGAACGAAAGUAUGGGGAUCGAAGACGAUUAGAUACCGUCGUAGUCUAUACCAUAAACUAUGCCAACUAGAGAUUGGAGGUCGUUAAUACUAUGACUCCUUCAGCACCUUAUGAGAAAUCAAAGUCUUUGGGUUCCGGGGGGAGUAUGGUCGCAAGGCUGAAACUUAAAGGAAUUGACGGAAGGGCACCACCAGGAGUGGAGCCUGCGGCUUAAUUUGACUCAACACGGGAAAACUUACCAGGU